Molecule: non-coding RNA, 274 nt
Organism: Nerophis lumbriciformis (worm pipefish)
Lineage: Eukaryota; Metazoa; Chordata; Actinopteri; Syngnathiformes; Syngnathidae
Source: RefSeq, a predicted model, not a curated record
GCCUGACUUCCGGCCGCCAUUUUUGGAUUCGAAAGAAAUGGCGGCAUUUUCAACUGCGUAAACAGAUCCGCUCAAACCUCCAAGGUAGACGUCCUCCUCAGAAAGCCUCGUGGGACCUGAACACGUCCAAGGUUACAGAAAGUUCCUGUGAGUGAAAUGCACCGGGGGGUAAAAGAUGGCGGAGGCACACGUGUGUGUCCAGUCGUGAUGGGCGAGUGAAAGGGCAGGUGAAAUGAAGGUGGGCUUUGACUUUGGUGGGGCCUCCUGGGGAUGA